ACUCCUACGGGAGGCAGCAGUGGGGAAUCUUGCACAAUGGGGGCAACCCUGAUGCAGCGACGCCGCGUGAGCGAUGAAGCCCUUUGGGGUGUAAAGCUCUUUCGGCAGGGAAGAUUAUGACGGUACCUGCAUAAGCAGCUGCGGCUAACUACGUGCCAGCAGCCGCGGUAAUACGUAGGCAGCGAGCGUUGUUCGGAGUUACUGGGCGUAAAGGGUGUGUAGGCGGUUGCUUAAGUUUGGUGUGAAAUCUCCCGGCUCAACUGGGAGUGUGCGCCGAAUACUGAGUGACUAGAGUGCGGGAGAGGAAAGUGGAAUUCCUGGUGUAGCGGUGAAAUGCGUAGAUAUCAGGAGGAACACCGGUGGUGUAGACGGCUUUCUGGACCGUAACUGACGCUGAGACACGAAAGCGUGGGUAGCAAACAGGAUUAGAUACCCUGGUAGUCCACGCCCUAAACGAUGCAUAUUUGGUGUGGGUCAUUCAGUUGAUCCGUGCCGGAGCUAACGCGUUAAAUAUGCCGCCUGGGGAGUACAGUCGCAAGGCUGAAACUCAAAGGAAUUGACGG
Molecule: ribosomal RNA, 563 nt
Filed under: uncultured Acidobacteriaceae bacterium
Lineage: Bacteria; Pseudomonadati; Acidobacteriota; Terriglobia; Terriglobales; Acidobacteriaceae
Description: bacterial SSU rRNA
Rfam family: Bacterial small subunit ribosomal RNA
Source: RNAcentral